Oncorhynchus masou masou (cherry salmon) is the source of this 1419-nucleotide RNA transcript. RefSeq lists it as uncharacterized. The transcript has 4 exons. NCBI's taxonomy places the organism in Eukaryota, Metazoa, Chordata, Actinopteri, Salmoniformes, Salmonidae. The record is from RefSeq and is a predicted model, not a curated record.
GCUGAGAGCAGAACAGAUAUAGCAACACGGCAGUGCAGUAGGUGUGAGAGAGAUAGACAGCCUUCUCAAAUAACACCAGUAACUAUAUCAUUGACUGAACGAGGUCGCAUCGGAACCCUGCGAUUGGAAUAAUAGUUUAGUACAUCUUGGUAGUGUUGGCUGAAGUCCACGCCGAUAGAAUCGACCAGAACGGAGAAAACAACACAGCAGAUAACAUAGUGGUCUGUACCAAGCCUCCAGCCUCAACCACAGAACAGGGGGUCGACCCCUUACAGGACAUCCCAGGGAGGAACACUGAGGAAAAGGAGGAGAAGAGGACGAGAGAUGAAGACGAGGAUCUAGAGUUCCCUCACGACUUCCUGCCCAGCACAGACCUCAGCCUUGAACUCCACUGGGGGACUUCACUUGGAAGCUUCCAGCCUUUGGAGCCUCUGGUGUCUCCUGUGGCAGAGUUCCAAUCCCCCUCUGAAGAGACCCCUACCCCACUGGCUCCAGCAGAGACCCUACCCCACUGGGUCCAGCAGAGACCCCUACACCACUGGGUCCGGCAGAGACCCCUACCCUGCUGGGUCCAGCAGAGACCCCUACCCUGCUGGGUCCAGCAGAGACCACUACCCUACUGGGUCCGGCAGAGACCCCUACCCUACUGGGUCUUGCAGAGACCCCUACCCUACUGGAUCAGGCAGAGGCCCCUACCCUACUGGAUCAGGCAGAGACCCCUACCCCACUGUGUCAGGCAGAGACCCCUACCCUGCUGAGUCCAGCAGAGACCCCUACCCUACUGGGUCAGGCAGAGACCCCUACCCCACUGGGUCAGGCAGAGACCCCUACCCCACUGGGUCAGGCAGAGACCCCUACCCUACUGGGUCAGGCAGAGACUCCUACACUACUGUGUCAGGCAGAAACCCCUACACUACUGUGUCAGGCAGAGACCCCUACCCCACUGGGUCAGGCAGAGACCCCUACCCCACUGGGUCAGGCAGAGACCCCUACCCUACUGUGUCAGGCAGAGACUCCUACACUACUGGGUUCGGCAGAAACCCCUACCCCACUGGGUCAGGCAGAGACCCCUACCCUACUGGACCAGGCAGAGACCCCUACCCCACUGGGUCAGGCAGAGACCCCUACCCUACUGGACCAGGCAGAGACCCCUACUCUACUGGGUCAGGCAGAGGAAGCUACCCCAGUAAGACAAAAAAAGAGGCAGACAGAGGAGCAACCAGCCCAUGAAAAAGAGACCCCAGGACAGACAAUUAGCGGGUCCUCCCUGACAGAGGCUGAGCAGACUGAGGAGAGGAGUAAGCCUCCUUCUUUCACCUCCUCCUCCCCACCUCCUCCCCCUGCCACCUCCUCCCCACCUCCUCCCCCUGUCACCUCCUCCCCACCUCCUCCCCCAGCCACAUCCUCCCCACCUCCUCC